AGUCGAGGGGCAGCGGGGCGGCAGGCUUGCCUGCCGUUGCCGGCGACCGGCGCACGGGUGAGCAACACGUAUGCAACCUGCCCGUGGCAGGGGGAUAAGCGGGGGAAACCCCGUCUAAUACCGCGUAACGCGGCCUAGGGACAUCCCAAGGCCGCCAAAGGGAGCAAUCCCGGCCACGGAUGGGCAUGCGGCGCAUUAGCUAGUCGGCGGGGUAACGGCCCACCGAGGCGACGAUGCGUAGGGGUUCUGAGAGGAAGGCCCCCCACACUGGUACUGAGACACGGACCAGACUCCUACGGGAGGCAGCAGUGAGGAAUAUUGGUCAAUGGGCGCGAGCCUGAACCAGCCAAGUCGCGUGAGGGAGGACGGCCCUACGGGUUGUAAACCUCUUUUGCCGGGGAGCAACGGGCGCCACGUGUGGCGCCACUGAGAGUACCCGGAGAAAAAGCAUCGGCUAACUCCGUGCCAGCAGCCGCGGUAAUACGGAGGAUGCGAGCGUUAUCCGGAUUUAUUGGGUUUAAAGGGUGCGUAGGCGGAUCGUUAAGUCAGUGGUCAAAUUGAGGGGCUCAACCCCUUCCCGCCAUUGAAACUGGCGAUCUUGAGUGGAAGAGAAGUAUGCGGAAUGCGUGGUGUAGCGGUGAAAUGCAUAGAUAUCACGCAGAACCCCGAUUGCGAAGGCAGCAUGCCGGCUUCCUACUGACGCUGAAGCACGAAAGCGUGGGGAUCGAACAGGAUUAGAUACCCUGGUAGUCCACGCGGUAAACGAUGAGCGCUAGGUGUCCGGGGGGAAUGGCCCCUGGGCGCCACAGCGAAAGCGUUA
This 820-nucleotide ribosomal RNA is filed under the name uncultured bacterium. Its description in RNAcentral is "bacterial SSU rRNA". It matches the Rfam family "Bacterial small subunit ribosomal RNA", at positions 60 to 862 of the family's 1533-position model. The record is from RNAcentral.